This 486-nucleotide ribosomal RNA is filed under the name uncultured bacterium. Its description in RNAcentral is "partial 16S ribosomal RNA". It matches the Rfam family "Bacterial small subunit ribosomal RNA", at positions 36 to 507 of the family's 1533-position model. The record is from RNAcentral.
CUUUCCCUCUUUCUUCCUGCCUUACACAUGCAAGUCGAACGGCAGCACGGGUGCUUGCACCUGGUGGCGAGUGGCGAACGGGUGAGUAAUACAUCGGAACAUGUCCUGUAGUGGGGGAUAGCCCGGCGAAAGCCGGAUUAAUACCGCAUACGAUCCACGGAUGAAAGCGGGGGACCUUCGGGCCUCGCGCUAUAGGGUUGGCCGAUGGCUGAUUAGCUAGUUGGUGGGGUAAAGGCCUACCAAGGCGACGAUCAGUAGCUGGUCUGAGAGGACGACCAGCCACACUGGGACUGAGACACGGCCCAGACUCCUACGGGAGGCAGCAGUGGGGAAUUUUGGACAAUGGGCGAAAGCCUGAUCCAGCAAUGCCGCGUGUGUGAAGAAGGCCUUCGGGUUGUAAAGCACUUUUGUCCGGAAAGAAAUCCUUGACUCUAAUACAGUCGGGGGAUGACGGUACCGGAAGAAUAAGCACCGGCUAACUACGUG